GACAGCCAGGAUGUUGGCUUAGAAGCAGCCAUCAUUUAAAGAAAGCGUAAUAGCUCACUGGUCGAGUCGGCCUGCGCGGAAGAUGUAACGGGGCUAAACCAUGCACCGAAGCUGCGGCAGCGACGCUGAUGCGUUGUUGGGUAGGGGAGCGUUCUGUAAGCCUGUGAAGGUGUGCUGUGAGGCAUGCUGGAGGUAUCAGAAGUGCGAAUGCUGACAUAAGUAACGAUAAAGCGGGUGAAAAGCCCGCUCGCCGGAAGACCAAGGGUUCCUGUCCAACGUUAAUCGGGGCAGGGUGAGUCGACCCCUAAGGCGAGGC
This 316-nucleotide ribosomal RNA is filed under the name Escherichia coli. Its description in RNAcentral is "partial 23S ribosomal RNA". It matches the Rfam family "Bacterial large subunit ribosomal RNA", at positions 1088 to 1402 of the family's 2925-position model. The record is from RNAcentral. Lineage: Bacteria; Pseudomonadati; Pseudomonadota; Gammaproteobacteria; Enterobacterales; Enterobacteriaceae.